UGUCUUAAAAGUUUGAUGCUUUAUUACAAAAGGUUGAAGCUUUGUGUUGCAUCUUAUGUUUGAGUAGCUAAAGGUUGAUGCUUUAUUACAAAAAUGUCUGAAGCUUUGUGUUGCAUGUUAUGUUUCAAUAGUUAAAAGGUAGCUGCUUUAUUACAAAAAGGUUGAAGCUUUGUGUUGCAUCUUAUGUUUGAAUAGAUUGCUGCUUUAUUACAAAAUGUCUGAACCUUUGUGUUGCAUGUUAUGUUUCAAUUAGUUAAAGUUUGCUGCUUUAUUACAAAAAGGUUGAAGCUUUGUCGUCUGUGUUGUUGCAUGUUAGGUUUUGAAUAGUUAAAAGGUCUCUUCUUUUG
This 347-nucleotide long non-coding RNA is filed under the name Brassica napus (rape). RNAcentral's name for it is "long non-coding RNA (BNAP_LNC018028)". Lineage: Eukaryota; Viridiplantae; Streptophyta; Magnoliopsida; Brassicales; Brassicaceae. The record is from RNAcentral.